This 275-nucleotide ribosomal RNA is filed under the name uncultured bacterium. Its description in RNAcentral is "partial 16S ribosomal RNA". It matches the Rfam family "Bacterial small subunit ribosomal RNA", at positions 524 to 793 of the family's 1533-position model. The record is from RNAcentral.
UACGGAGGGUGCGAGCGUUGUCCGGAAUCACUGGGCGUAAAGGGCGCGUAGGCGGCGCGGGGAGUCAACGGUGAAAGCUCGGCGCUCAACGCCGAGUCGGCCGUCGAUACUCCCGUGCUCGAGCACUGUAGAGGCAGGUGGAAUUCCGGGGUGUAGCGGUGGAAUGCGUAGAGAUCCGGAAGAACACCGGUGGCGAAGGCGGCCUGCUGGGCCAGUAGCUGGACGCCUGAGGCGCGACAGCGUGGGGAGGCAACACGGAUUGAGAUCCCGGGUAG